GACGAACGCUGGCGGCGUGCUUAACACAUGCAAGUCACGGGGGGCCCGCAAGGGUCAACCGGCGAACGGGUGCGUAACACGUGAGCGACCUGCCCAAUUGCGGGGGAUAGCCGGCCCAACGGCCGGGUAAUACCGCAUACGCUUCCCUGGGGGCAUUCUUGGGGAAGGAAACCUACGGGGCGAUUGGAGGGGCUCGCGGCCUAUCAGCUAGUUGGCGAGGUAACGGCUCACCAAGGCGAUGACGGGUAGCUGGUCUGAGAGGAUGGCCAGCCACAUUGGGACUGAGAGACGGCCCAGACUCCUACGGGAGGCAGCAGUGGGGAAUCUUGCGCAAUGGCCGAAAGGCUGACGCAGCGACGCCGCGUGGAGGAUGACGCCCUUCGGGUGGUAACGUACCUCGUUGUCCCCGGGGACCGGAAACGUAGCCCGUCGUUUCGGUACCAGGAGUGACGGUACCGGGUGAGGAAGGACGACCGGCGUAACUACUGUGCCAGCAGCCGCGGUAA
This 506-nucleotide ribosomal RNA is filed under the name uncultured bacterium. Its description in RNAcentral is "bacterial SSU rRNA". It matches the Rfam family "Bacterial small subunit ribosomal RNA", at positions 28 to 523 of the family's 1533-position model. The record is from RNAcentral.